UACGGGGGGUGCGAGCGUUGUCCGGAAUCACUGGGCGUAAAGGGCGCGUAGGUGGUUUGAUAAGGGUGUGGUGAAAGUCCGGAGCUCAACUCCGGAUCUGCCGUGCCGACUGUCAAACUCGAGGGCUGUAGAGGCAGACGGAAUUCCGGGUGUAGCGGUGAAAUGCGCAGAUAUCAGGAGGAACACCGGUGGCGAAGGCGGGUCUCUGGGCAACAACUGACGCUGAGGAGCGAAAGCGUGGGGAGCGAACAGG
This 253-nucleotide ribosomal RNA is filed under the name uncultured bacterium. RNAcentral describes it as "partial 16S ribosomal RNA". It matches the Rfam family "Bacterial small subunit ribosomal RNA", at positions 524 to 776 of the family's 1533-position model. The record is from RNAcentral.